Molecule: long non-coding RNA, 3298 nt
Organism: Hylaeus volcanicus
Lineage: Eukaryota; Metazoa; Arthropoda; Insecta; Hymenoptera; Colletidae
Exons: 5
Source: RefSeq, a predicted model, not a curated record
UUACACCCUGGUCGUUCCAACGUUCAGGCUCUCUCGGAUACCACGGUUUCGAAAUUUCAAUGAUCGUACCGUUAUCCUUAAGAAAUUUACAAAAUACCUCGGAACGCGAGCGAUCCGAAUAGGGGAUGUUUAAGAGUGAAACGAUUAUCUGAAGAAGGAUCUGAAAGUGCACAGUUGACAGAUUCGCGACGACGCGGCGGCUUUGUACGCUUCCUCGGUGGGUGGCACGAGAUAUCGGGCAGUUUGCAUAGUUAAAUUGUGUAUCGUUCGGUUUAGUUUUUGAGAAAAUCCCCUGCAUAUUGCGUCCAGGAAUUGCGCGAGGGAAUUGUGCCACCCCGUGGAUCGCUUUGUCGCGAAUGUGUCGGAGGUGCAGAGGAAUGGUAUCGAGCGGUCGUUAACAAUUGCUUCCUGUAACGGAAGAAGACAUCCGUGCUUUUUAACCUCGCGCUGUUUCGCGUGGUCGAAUCGCGUGAAUAAGACAAGGUCUUAUUUUACGACAAUAGCACAUUAUCGCAUUGCACGCGAAACAGGAGUAUCGCUAUAUUGAUUUCAUUUACAACCGUUAAACCUCUACAACCAAAGACCCGAGCCAAUCAGAUUUCGGAACGAGUUAACGUUAUCAUUCGCCAGUAGGAACACCAACAGCGGUGGAUUCCUCGGUGGGUUGCCUAGCAACGGCAUCCCCGCGGGCUGUCGUUCGAAUUCGAAAUUAGUCACCCUCGAAUGCUGCCUAAACAACUACAAGAGCUGGAGGAAAUAACGCGAAUACCUGUGAAAUAUACUGAUUUAUCGAUGUAUGAUUUUGCCAGAAAGGAUGUUAAAGUCUAUCUUUCUAUUCCCGAAACCGAUGUGAUCAUUUGGGUCGUCGCAGAAUCACCCCUACAUUUAAUAAAUGCAACCAGACCAUUUCAUACUACUUUAUCUAACAAGUUGCAGCUACCCUAGCGCGUUACUAAAAUUUUCCAAGUCCAAUAUAUAUCCUCGGACCCUACUCUAUAAUGUCUCACAUGCUAGGGGAACAAUGAUCAAACAACACUUGGAACUUUUAUAUAUCUUUCUAUGCUACAUAAUUUAGGAUCGCAUAAAGGGAGUGGAAAAGAAAUGGGGAAAGAAGAAAACCAGGUCACGCCAUUCGGGAAGAAUUUAUUGAGAUCUAUCAGAGUUAGAUUCUCACAUCUAAGAAAGCUAUACCAAAUUCGCAGCCGAUUAGCUUGAUAUUACUCGCGAAGAAGGAUUAUUCUUUCGAUUACCAAGUCGCAUCACGAGACUUUACCAUCAAAGGUCCUUUGAUCGAUCAACGUAAUGGAUAUCAAUUCUUCCCAUGUAGAGAUGUAUGAUCCAUGUAAAGAACUCUGAUUUAAUAAAUAAAAUGGUAAUACUUUUUCGCGAUGAUUGUUUCCAUUCUCAGCGUUACGAGUGUUACAAUCAUAUUCAAUUCUGAAUCGAUAACGAUGGAAGUAACACAAAAAUAUAACCCAUCGAAUUGUAGAAUAAAAAAUGUCCAUAGAAUCCUUUGUCCAUUCUAUAACUCCUUUGCGGUAUAUGUAUGAUAAAAUGAAGUACGAUACUUGAUUCGAUGCCACAUUUAUACUUUCAGCCUAUGAAAGCUGUAUUAACAAAAUUAAAUUAUCGACUGUACGAGAAGCAAUGAUAUCGUUCGUCGCGCACUCUGUAUAAAACAACAAUGACUCGAAGGAUCGUCGGACGUAAAGAAUCAGUUUGAAUAAAUUCUCACCCGGUAUCUAUCGAUUUCAUCCAUGUUAUGGGUCCUCGUUCCUGCUCUUGGUUCGGUAUGUCAACAAUAACAGUCGAGACAAGAGGAUUAACGACCGUACAGUUUUUCUAUGAAGCACGAAUUUCCACGAAUUGCUAGGCACUCCCUUCCCCUUCCCGCUAGCAGCGCCACCGUUAAUCUCUCAGUUGGCUCAACGUAAAUAGAACCGUAAAAUCACACGAGAAAAUGUGCGAAUUACGUGAUCAUCGAUCGAAGCUGAAGGGUCCUGUAUCGUGCAACAUGCAAACGCUAAAGACGUCAUGGCAGUUACGCCGACAAUUGGAAUGGAAAUUCAGAGGUGAUCGGCGAUAAUCUACCACGUCGAGGUGAUGCUGGGACCAGCUCCGAAACGAGGCAAAAAAAGCCCACAAAGCGUCGAUCUCCUAGUCGCUGGCAUUCGACUGGGAAUAAGGAAACCGUCGUUACAUCCUCCGUCGUCUCUGAAUAAUGGAGCCAUUCGUAAAUUCGACAAUGUCCGGACACGUCCUCGAACUUUCACGGCAUAACGUCGCGGGAUAGUUUUUAGGACGCCAUGAGGGAAAGGCCGAGGAAAAAAAACGUAUGCGGUCGAGGGUGCGUUUGGAGAUCGAUCAGGAAGUUGGCGCACUGGAACGCGUAAUAUGGAGCCCGCGAUUCAUCCGGUGACGUCCGAAACUCGGCACGGAGAGUUUCGAGCGGUACGACAACAUUGAUUCGUCCAUUAUUCAUUUCCUGGCAUUUUCGAUGAUGGAUCGUCGACGUCGUCGCGCCUCGAGUGUCGCGAAAACGCUCGUAUCAAGCCAUGUGUCCCAAACGUCCACUUUGACGCAGAUUCUUUCAACCCUGUUAUACAUAUACUUGGUGGUUGUUCGCGUAAACGCGUGCUCAGCGAACGCUCUCCGCGUAUUCAGAAAUUACCAAUUCGGUCUAACGCUUGAAUGUUGCUCUUUACUCAGCCUGUCUCUCUCUCUCUCCGUCGCUCUAUCUCGCUCCGUUGACCACCGGCGCGAGGGCGGUCCGCAGAGGGAACGUUAGCGGUUUUUCGAACUUUCUGGAUUCGGAAGACUUCGAAAGCGUUCCAAAAUCGCGAACCGUUAGACGUCUUCGACGCAACGAUGAUUAUUAGCUGUCUGUCGCUCGUCUCGUUAGGAUCGUCAGUAAUCGCUCUCUCUCUCUCUCUCUCUCUCUCUCUCUUACGGACGCCGCGCUUCGGACCGUUACUUCGUCGGACUCGAACCGUCGCUUCGAUUAGUAAUUUUUGCUAUUGUGAUCUGCUUUUGUAAAUAUCAAUUGUUGUGAACUAUAAAUUUAAAGACGAAUACAAUACAUUUUGUGUAAAACUGUUUGAAUAAGCUCUAAAACCUUAGUUUUCAUUUCACUCGCGAUUCGAUCGAUCCGAACAUUUCCAUUUUGCUUGUUAAGUCAACCCGUAAACGGUUAACAUAAUUAUCGUUUAAAAAGUCGUAAUCGUACUCAUCAAGAAAUCAAUAUGGUUCGACGGAUAAAAUGUAAUAAUAAUAAUAAUAAUAAUAAUAACAAUAAAAC